GUUCCCUAGUUGCCAUGGGAACCUCGCCCCGCUUAGAGUCCUGACCGCUUGACUCCGCGAAGCGCGAACGUGUUGUUUCUUCCUGAGAUUUGGGAGGCUGGAGGACAUCUGGGGGCCACAGUGCUCCUUUUCCUAGAGACUCAACUCAAGGUGAGCCUUUACACCAUCCUUCUGGCAGCCUGUGCUCCCACCUCAGAGAAUGGUUCUUCCUUUUCAUCCUUCUUUCCCAGUUCACUCCUACUCCGCAGGCCACAGCCUCUAGAUUGAGGGAUCAUAAGGACAUUAAAGGCUCAUUACACAUACAGAUGGCACUCUAUUGAAAGGACUGUCAACUCUACAGAAGAGAACCCUGAUAGAACAUCGUGAAAGUCUGGAAGGAUUAUGCCAUUGAAGAUGCCAUCAUUGUUAUGGAAAAAGCCAUGAAAGCCAUCAAGCCUGAAACAAUAAAUUCUUACCGGAGAAUACUGUGUCCAGAUGUCAUGCACAAUUUCACAGGAUUUAUGAUAAAGCCAAGCUAGGAAAUCAUGAAAAAGAUUGUGAAUAUGGCAAAAAAGAUGGGGAUGAAGGGUUUGAUAGGGAUCUCAGAGAAAUUUAAGAGCUUAAUAGACACCACACCAGACUAGUUAACAGAAGAUGACUUGAUAGAGAUGAGUGCUUCUGAACCCCUGCCAGAUAAAGAUAUAGAAGCAGCAGUGGCAGAAAGUAAAUGAACUGAGACAGUCUAGAAGGAGGAUUCUGAUUAUUCAAGACCACUUUUGACAUUUUUUUAUGACAUGGACCCUUCUGUGAUGCAGGCACUGAAACUAAAGCAAAUAGCAGAAGAAGGAUUAAUACUAUAUAGCAGGCAGGGGUCCCCAACCCCCAGGCCAUCGGAACCAGGCCAUACAGCAGGAGGUGAGUUAUGGGUGAGCAAGUGAACACAAGCUUCAUCUGCAUCCACACCUGCUCCCCAUCGCUUGCAUUACUGCAUAAGCACCACCUCUUGUCAGCUCAUAGGAGAGCGAACCCCAUUGUGAACUGCGCAUGUGAGGGAUCUAGGUUGCCAGCUCCUUAUGGGAAUCUAAUGCCUGAAUCUGUCACUGUCUUCUAUCACCCCAGAAGGGACCGUCUAGUUGCAAGAAAAGCUCAGGGCUCCCAUUGAUUCCACAUUAUGUUGAGCUGUAUAAUUAUUUCAUUAUAUAUUACAAUGUAAUAAUAAUAGAAAUAAAGCACACAAUACAUAUAAAGUGCUUGAACCAUCCUGAAACCACUGCCUUAACCCCUUCUAUGGGAAAAAAAGUCUUCCAUAAAACCAGUCCCUGGUGCCAAAAACGUUGGGACUGCUGCUAUUUAGAAACAUUUUUAGAGAAAUAGAAGUUACAAUGUAUUUCCGUAAAGUUACACCAGAGUGUGCCUGCCUCUCCUGCCUCCGCUUCCACCUCUUUUGCCUCUGCUGCCCCUGAGACAGCAAGACCAACCAUUCCUCUUCCUCUUCCUCAGCCUACUCAACGUGAAGGCGAUGAAGAUAAAGACCUUUAUGAUGAUCCACUUCCAUUUAAUGAGUAGUAAAUAUGCUUCCUCUUAUGAUUUUUUUCUUUUCUUUUUUUGAGACAAGGUUUCACUCUCACCCAGGCUGCAGCAUAGAAACCUUUUUUUGAGA
Molecule: long non-coding RNA, 1639 nt
Organism: Sapajus apella (tufted capuchin)
Lineage: Eukaryota; Metazoa; Chordata; Mammalia; Primates; Cebidae
Exons: 3
Source: RefSeq, a predicted model, not a curated record